Long non-coding RNA from Zea mays, 5956 nucleotides. RefSeq lists it as uncharacterized. The transcript has 9 exons. NCBI's taxonomy places the organism in Eukaryota, Viridiplantae, Streptophyta, Magnoliopsida, Poales, Poaceae. The record is from RefSeq and is a predicted model, not a curated record.
AACGCCGGUGGCAAAAGGGGGCCGUGCAGUCGACGAGGUGAUCGGGGCAGCACAACAGGGUGAGGUCCGUCAAUGCGGUGCCCGCCGCCCCCGGAGAGAGGGGAAAGUGUACGAGACGACAAACGUUGAAGCCAUGGUCAAGGAUACGGACCACACAACCCCAUGCGAAAUGUCACUUUUGCCCUCUGGAGUUCUGCCUUUCUCAGAGCCCACCCCACCCUCACGGCUCCACUCGAGUAUUCUGCACGAAAAAGUUAAAAAUCAAACUGAACCACGACAAAGUUCAAGCUCUUCUCAACCACAGCUCUUACCUUUGUCACGAUCAUGAUGGAGAUCUUAAUAGCAGUAUUCCACGUUCCGUUUGGUUUUAGGGACUAAAAAUUAAUUCAUUCAUUUUAGUUUUAUUUAGUAGCUAAAUUGGCAAAUAAGUUGCAAUAAAACAGGGACUAAACUGUUUUAGUCUUUAGUCCGUCAAAGAUCUAUUAAAUGAGACUAACUCAUAUUAAUUCAAUAUUUUGACUCUCCUUCAUUUGUCCAUGGAUCGCUCUGGUCUUGCAUCUUACAAUUUGUUGGUCAGUUUAUAUAAGAUUCCUAAUGUUGUAUCUACAUGUGUUGCACAAUAUUGAUAUUUUUUGCUAUACACUCUCCUGUUGCAGCCCAAACUAUAAGUCCUUUAUGUAUCUAGAAAAGCUAAAACGACUUAUAAUUAGGAGGAGGGUGUAUAACGCUAACAUUUUUUUGUUUCACUAUCCAUAUUUCUUUACUGUCAUUUUUUACUAUAUUAUUGGCUUUAGACAGAUUACUAUGAUACUUUUCGUUUUUCUUCAAUAGUGCUCAACAUAAUUUAGGAUGAGAAACUGGCUCCCACUAAUUGUUGUUGCAUUGUCCCUCUGUUAGUUGUUGCAUUGUCAUUUGUUGAACUACAGGUGAACCAUGAAUUAAGACUUGGGAUCAUAUCAUCGUCAUUCUCUCUUAGUCUCUUUCUUGAAAAAUAAUUUUUUGUGCAUGGAAAAAUGUGAUAAACUGUGUUUGAACAGGACAUAUGUCAGGCAUCAACCAAUAAGAGGGAAAAGUGGAGACAUGGUUUUUGGGACAUAUGUCACUUUUUGGGAGGGAAAUAGGCUUUUUUCUCGAUGUUGAAACAUGGUUUUGUCUUUGGUCACUUGGGCUCAUUUCAUUAGCAUUGUAUGGAUCAUCAUUGGCAGUAAGACCGAUGCAACCCUACUCCUUGAUGGCUUGGUACAAGGCUUCAAAAUAUCUGAAGUAAGCAAAUCUGCUAGCCUCUCAAAGUGAGCCUGAGACCUGCAAACCUCAAAGUGGUAAAUAGCUAUGUGGUAAUCAUGUAAGAGUGCUAUUAUGUUUUAUUUAAGACCUCAAAGUGAGCCUAGGAGUGCUAUUAUGUUUUAUUUCAGACCUCAAAGUGGUGAAUAUCUAUCUUGUAACAUAGAUGAGAAAUUCCACAACAAUAAAGUUUAUCACAAUCAUUAUAGUUAAGGAAGACAAAUAACAAAAAAAGAGGGAAAAUUCAAAUCAUAGAGUAUCUAAACAAAAUAGAUCACAAGUUCACAAGGGGAGACGACACACGCGGGUGGGGGCAGGGUAGGACCUCACACGUCGGUGUCAUCCAGGGUCCAGGGAUCGUAGGCAUCGUCGUAGACCGUGGCCUGCUCGGGAGCCCUGGCCCGGAUUCGUCCCCGAUGGCCUGGAGCCUCGCGCCGACGUCGAGGCGGUCGAGGGGGUGGUGUGACGGGAGACGACGCACGCGGGGCAAGGGGCAUGCGCCGCGAGCGGGCGGGGCGCGGCGGCCGCAGCGCGGCGGCCGCACGUCAUCUGUUGGGUCGAAGGCUGGGGGUGGGUAUUGCACGGCUGAUGGGUAAGACGAGGGCGUCGGGGCGGAGGCGUUGCCUCGCCCUGUGGGCGAGCAGGCGGGGCGCGCGGGCGGCAGUAGGCGGGGGCAAGGGGUGUGGACGCCUUCGUUGUACUCUUAAUAGAGUAGUAAAGAUGAACAACCCAACUUGGUUUUAUACCUGUUUCUGAUAAAAAAAUAUUUCUUUCUUUUGGCUAGCUCAUUAUUUUGCAUACUUUCUAUCACAUGAAGAAGAAUUAUGACUAUAUGUGCGUAAUUUAAGUUCUACCACAGUUGUUUGUAACUAGAGAUUAAAAAUUUCUAUGUAGCACCUUAUGACAGUUUUUUUCUUCUUCCUUGCAGUCGGGAAUUAAGUGAGACAAUGUAGAAGGUGAAAGAGGCGAGCAUGGCACAAAAGUGUGAACAAGCGACAGUGAUUUGUUGAACGAAUGACAAUCUUUUGAAGACGCCCACUGCCAAUUCUCUGCCUUUGUCAUGUGUGAGAAACCUUAAUCGGUACUCAAACUUUGGCAUGAAUCUAAGCUACUAGCCCAACUAAAUACACUGAUAAAUAAUUAUGUAGUGAAUUUAUUUAGCAUGUGUAGUGAGGGUAAUCUGGAUUUUUACACUUUGCAAUUGCUAUGUUUCAAUGUUUGAACUUUGGUGUACAAUAUCCCGCCUCUGCCCCAAAGAGGAUGUUAUCCAGGAUUCAUCUUGUUUGGGUUCCUUUUGACAUCAAAAUAAGUUGGUGGAUAAGGUGCUGUUUACAAUAAAAAAAAUCCCAACAUAUUACUCUAACAAGCAAAAUGGUACAUUAGUUGCCUUUUUUGUUUGUUUUCUUUUCUACCGCUUGAAUUUUUCAGGUGACUGGAAUUUCUGGCACAAAUGCUCUAAUUAUUCUAGGUACAAGAGCACAAUGGUUGUUGUAGCAUAUGAACCCUGCCGUGGUUAUUCAUACUAAAUGUGAAUAACAGAAUUCUUGCUUUGUUUGUGGCCUUUGAUCUGCAAGAGGGUCUAGCACUGCUAAUCUCCUCUAUCCAGGCUCUGCUAGAACUGGUGGAAGGUGAUUAUACGUGCGAAAUGUCCCUACUGUUGCUGUUUACACUAAAAAAUUGCUUUCCUGAUAAUUUAUCAUGAUUCGGACAUCAAUAUUGCAGCAGUUUGUACGGGCUAACCAAGAAGAUGUGGCUGAGGAUAACGCUAUGCUUCUUCCUAGGUCCUAUGGUGAUUGUCAUGUACCCAGAUAGUCAUUGGUAAUCGGAGCUCCGACCGAGGGACUGCAACCGUGCUCUGUGACCAUGUCCAGGUCGAGGGGUUCAGCUCGGGAGCCUUCUCUGACCUCGUCAUGAGGGUUCAAUUCGAUUUGCAUGUCAUUGCACCAAACAAGUUUAUGCUUCGUCUGCAGCCACCUGACUUCAAGACAAGGAAGGUGAUGAGUUGCAUAGGAACUCCGAUGUGCUAGAAAUCCUCAUGAAUACCAGGUUUCUAAUGGUCUAUGUGCAGUAUGAGCGUUCACUAGAAACAAUCAUAGGACACGAUCAAAUCAUCUGGCUCGGGGGCCUAAAUUACCGAAUCAUGCUUUCCCAUCAGUUAGUGAAGGCCCUUGUCGAGAUGCGCAAUUCUAGAGAAAGAUUAGGUGAGAGCUUGGUAACCCUCAGGUUUCUUUUGGUUACCCAGUAGUCCAGCUACCAACACUUGAAACAAGCUCUUCAGAUGAGAAGCAGCAGAAGCAACUUUUCUUUAGAAUCUACUUGGUUUCUAAGGAUUGUCAGCAUCAUAAGUUUUCCGCCACAUCCUUUCUUAUAGAGUGCAAAGAAACUCCAUGUGGGUGUCCCAUUGAGCCUCUUCCUCUUUAUGUCAAAUAUUUAUUUCCUAUGAGAGCCGCGUCACCUAUUAUUUUUGCCAGAGGCCUUGAAAAGUCAGGAACGGCCCUGACACUGACAUUCUCUCGUCUGCGCGGCGUACAUUCUCCUAGCCGCCAUCCUCACCAUGCCGCUGCGGAUCCCGCCCGCGGUAUGACUCCCUCCUCACCUACGUGGCCACGCGCGACGCAGCCGCAACGACCUAACCCCCAUGUCGUCGCUGACCUCGCGUCCCGUCUCGCUGCUACGAUGCCUUCGUGGAAGCUUGAAGGUAUGAUGUCCCUUCCAUCUCUCUUCUUUGAUGGACUGCUCUUUGUUGUUCCAGUUCACUACUAAUGUGGGUUUUGCCUAUUGGUAGGAAAAAAAAUUCUUUACAUCUGGGAUGUAAAGAAUCUCUUUUACAGCCCCUCACAUACACCAGCUGCUGGUAUAUAUAAAUAGAAGAAAAAAAUAAAUUACUAAAAGAUUAUUUUGUAAAUUUUGAUCUGUCUUUGUGGGCCUUUAAGUGGUGCAUGUGAGGGGCUGUAAAAGGUGGUGUUCACAUGCGGUAUGUAUAGAUUUUUUUUCCCGGUGGUAAGCCUGGUGCGAUGGCGUUGGUAACAAAAAAAAAGUAGAAUGCACGCUUUAUUUAUUUUGAUGCCAAAAAUUCGAAUCGAAACUGCAAUUGGCCGCUUACAAUAUUAUUGUUGACAAAAAAUGAAAUGCGUGCUAGCAUCAUAGCUAACGAUAUUAUCAUACAUGUUUUGGUACAUUUAGCACUAAAAGGUGUGCUCUGAUGCUAUUUGCAUCAAUUAAACCAUCUUUAAGAAUAUGUCAUUGGUUACUUCAUAUAAUUUUGUCUUGUAAUUUGUUUGAACUUGUAAUGCCUGGAGAAGUCUGCAGUAAAAAAUUGUUAGGAUGCAGUCGUACUGCCAGGUUCAUUAAUUAGGUGAAUUUUUUGGUAUUUGUAGUUUUCAAAAUGAUGAAUAUGUACACAGAUGAAUAUGUAUAUUAUCUAAAAUUUAUUGGAUGUAACGUUCAAUUGUUUCAUGAUACACAUGUGUUGGUUAUUGGAGGGGAACGGUGGUGUUCUGUGUUAGGUUUCACGACAUAUCUCUGUGGAGCAGAUUGGCAUAUGUGAAAUUGAUAAGACGGUGGUAGAUGUAAGAUCUCGCUUCCUGUAUGUGCAUAAUACUGUGCAGUGACCACUGAUAUUAUGUUUUAUUGACUUUUAGAUGUUUGAGAGCAUUUGCUUUCUGUUAGAUUUCUCUGAACACCAAUAAUUUGGUCUAUGUGUCUUUAUCUACAUUCAGUUGAGGAAUGCAAUUGAUUUUACUGAUGUCACUUGAUUUUUCGACACUGAUGUUAGCUGCUCCUACUAUGCCUUCUUCAAUUUUUAAAAUGCAUUCAUUUUCGUAUUUUGGUACUACAUGAUAUGAGGACAGCAAAUGAGAUGACUCAUGACGUGGUUAAUUGAGAUUCCUUUAGUCUUCUGAAUUUCCUUCUUUUAUGUUAUUUGCUUAGUAGGUUGGGUUGGAUUCUGUGAGGGGUACUGAUUCAUGAUUAAAAUUGGGUGGACAGGAGGCAUAUUUUUGUAAAAGGACAACAACAGAGGAUUGUUCAUUUGUUCCUUCUCAAGGGUCAUGCUAUUUUGCAAACUAGGGUGAUGGUUUUUGCAUUAUCGGUUCUUUAGCGUGUCGACUGUAUAUUUUGUUGAACCAUGUAAGCUGUCGUCUUCUCUCAGUGCAAGCUUUGUGGGAGAGAUGGAACAAUUGUGAUGAUUCAUGGGCUUUCAUUCAAGAUUUUUGAAGAUCUAUCUAGAACUUCCACCAAUAGUCCAACCAUUACAAAUGGAAGAGGAUCUAGAGCAACUGAAAGUUCUUGAAAACAGCUAUCGGAUGAAGGUAUUUUGGCAUGGAACGCUAGAAUCUGAGAUAGACCGUGUCUGGUGAUCAAAGUGGAGCAAAAUGCCCGUGGUGUGGAUGCACCUGAGGUGCAUUGAGAAAAUCGAAGCGCUGACGUGAGCGAGAAAUAUCCAGUAGAAAAUGAUGGCAGAGCGAGUGCUUUGCAUUGCUAUCAGUGUAGGCUUGAUAGGAGACUUUUGGUUGUGAUAUCUUAUUUUCUAAAUAGUAUGAUACCAGAUAGGGGGGCCGUAAGGGCGCCUUUUGCUCUAGUAUUAGGCUGUCUCCAGCAACGUCUCCUAAAUUUCGUCCUUUAAAGUAAUAUUCUUUAUCAUUUACAGCAUCCUCUAAAAAAUUCGUCCUCUAUA